GGCGGCCAUGGUGCGGGUCCGCCGCUCGGGCGGCUCCAGCUCGCCCACGACGACCUGGAGCAGCGGGAUCGCGGCCCGGGUGGCCAC
This 87-nucleotide transfer RNA is filed under the name Streptomyces sp. NE5-10. RNAcentral's name for it is "tRNA-Trp". Lineage: Bacteria; Bacillati; Actinomycetota; Actinomycetes; Kitasatosporales; Streptomycetaceae. The record is from RNAcentral.